ACAGUGCAGUGGCUUAAGAUAGUUCUCUUUAGUUUUCCCAUGAUUUAUCACAAGCAAGUUCACAGCAGCGACGACACAGUUGAAAUAACUCCUUCGUGGAGGCUGGCUACAUUUUCACAACGUCUGGUCCCAAGCUAGAUCUUCGGGAAAAGGGAUCAAGGAAAUGACUAUUCCUCCAAAUAAAAUGCAACAAGAAGAAUGAAAAAACGUAGAAGAGAAAGCCUCGUGAAACUGAGAAGCAUCUGCAACCACAAACUACAAAAUGUAGCUGCUAAACAAAAUGAAAGUUGGAUCAAAGUGGUGGCAAAUAUCAAGAGUGAAUAUACUCCACGGCAGAGUACUGCAAAUGCUGCACAUCUUUCAUGGAUUCUGGUCCACCUCGUCCUCACGCGGGGAUGCAGACUGACAAGCUUCCACCAUGAAGGGUUGUCAUUUGCCAUAGCAGGGAGAGGAAAAUGGAGCAAAUCAGUCACCAGCUCGUCAUACAGAAGAGUGUCCCACGUCAUAUCUGCUGAUAUGUUAUGGCCAAAGUACAUGACUAUCUCCAAGGAGCUGAGAGGUGAAAUUCGGACAUUUGUCUGGACGGAGUAGAACCAAGAGAGUCGUAAACAUCCUGUGGACUACACACCGUUUAACAAGAUGCAACAGUAUUCUGGGUAAGAGAUCAUGGAGAGGCAUUUAUGAAAGCAUUUUUAAAUCAAAUACAAUUAUUACAAUUUGUCGAUUAAUUGGAUGUGAGAAUGGAGGGAGAUGGAAGAGUCAGGGAUCAUUUCCCUGUGAUGGAAAGGACAACUGGAUAAAUGCUGUAAAGUGUCCUGAGUUAGAGAAUGUAGAAGAUAUUUUGGAGUGGGAGGGAACAUUCAAACAGAGAUGUCUAGUACAUAGCUGGAAAUGAGAUCAGAAGAGAGGUCUGGGCCGAAUAAAUAAAUUUUAGAGCGUUUGACAUCCAAAAGGUACUUGAAAUCAAUGGAACAAAGAUUUGUAUGGGAGGGUAAGCAAAUCAUUCUUCUUUGAGACUUUCUCGAUUUUGGCACUGAAAGUCGUAUGUCAUGGGAACAUUCUCAGGCUUGAACAAACUGCAGUAGUUGGUCACCCUUUGAGAGUGUGUGAAUAAAAAGAACACCAA
Long non-coding RNA from Homo sapiens (human), 1126 nucleotides. Ensembl annotates it as long intergenic non-protein coding RNA 670. NCBI's taxonomy places the organism in Eukaryota, Metazoa, Chordata, Mammalia, Primates, Hominidae. The record is from Ensembl.